UACGAAGGGGGCUAGCGUUGCUCGGAAUCACUGGGCGUAAAGCGCACGUAGGCGGCUUUGUAAGUCAGAGGUGAAAGCCUGGAGCUCAACUCCAGAACUGCCUUUGAGACUGCAUCGCUUGAAUCCAGGAGAGGUGAGUGGAAUUCCGAGUGUAGAGGUGAAAUUCGUAGAUAUUCGGAAGAACACCAGUGGCGAAGGCGGCUCACUGGACUGGUAUUGACGCUGAGGUGCGAAAGCGUGGGGAGCAAACAGG
Molecule: ribosomal RNA, 253 nt
Filed under: uncultured bacterium
Lineage: Bacteria
Description: partial 16S ribosomal RNA
Rfam family: Bacterial small subunit ribosomal RNA
Source: RNAcentral